Molecule: long non-coding RNA, 476 nt
Filed under: Linum usitatissimum (flax)
Lineage: Eukaryota; Viridiplantae; Streptophyta; Magnoliopsida; Malpighiales; Linaceae
Description: long non-coding RNA (LUSI_LNC007920)
Source: RNAcentral
AUAAAGUGACCUUAUGGUCUAAUAGGCAUCAUCCUCACAUCAGCCACCCCUAACUAGUGGUAGAUAGCCUCAUGGCGGAUUAGACCAUGAACCACCCUGAAAACUAUGUGAGCAUCAUCUGUAGGCAUACUCGACACGUCUUGCAUGAGCAUCAACAUGACCUGGGGGAUUGCGCAUGAGCAUCAACAUGACCUGGGGGAUUGCGCAAUCCAUAGGUGGGUGACCAUGAGCUUAUGCUCGAACUUAAACAAUAACUUGCGCACUAGAUCAAUGCUACUACAAAGUCUUAGAACCCUGCUCAGUUUCAGUUCCCCUAUUUAGCAGAUCACACACUACUAAACAGUACUGAAAGCCGGCUCUGUAAUCAUAACAACUGUACCGUAAGUCACACGCUACUGCACAGUCCAUGGAGCCUGGCUCCGAAACACAACAUCUAUACAAUAGAUCACACGCUAUUGUAUAGUCCUGAGAAUCCG